This 319-nucleotide ribosomal RNA is filed under the name uncultured Lactarius. Its description in RNAcentral is "eukaryotic LSU rRNA". It matches the Rfam family "Eukaryotic large subunit ribosomal RNA", at positions 1 to 311 of the family's 3401-position model. The record is from RNAcentral. Lineage: Eukaryota; Fungi; Basidiomycota; Agaricomycetes; Russulales; Russulaceae.
UUGACCUCAAAUCGGGUGAGACUACCCGCUGAACUUAAGCAUAUCAAUAAGCGGAGGAAAAGAAACUAACAAGGAUUCCCCUAGUAACUGCGAGUGAAGCGGGAAAAGCUCAAAUUUAAAAUCUGGCGGUCUUUGGCCGUCCGAGUUGUAAUUUAGAGAAGCGUCUUCCGCGCUGGACCGUGCACAAGUCUCCUGGAAUGGAGCGUCAUAGAGGGUGAGAAUCCCGUCUUUGGCACGGAUGCCCGGUGCUUCUGUGAUGCGCUCUCGAAGAGUCGAGUUGUUUGGGAAUGCAGCUCAAAAUGGGUGGUGAACUCCAUCU